Nothobranchius furzeri (turquoise killifish) is the source of this 213-nucleotide non-coding RNA. The record is from RefSeq and is a predicted model, not a curated record. Lineage: Eukaryota; Metazoa; Chordata; Actinopteri; Cyprinodontiformes; Nothobranchiidae.
AACAAGGCUAUCCCAGCAUGCUUUGCACGCCGGCUGUGGAUUUUCAACAGGCAGAGAAAGGGGAGAGCUAUUAAGUUUUAAACGACUGCAGGUGUCCAGGGUCAGGAGAGGCUUUACCUGUCCUGGGAGAGAGGCCUUCUACUGUCAUCAUGUUAUUGUUAUUUAGCUGUUUGAUAUUUGAACACAUUUAUUAAAACAAAUACUAACUGAGAA